CACAGUAAGCAGUCCCAAAUAAGGCUUUAAUUAUGUGGAUAGAGGAAGGCAAAUCUGUUUAUAGAACUGACCCAGGUUGGUGAGGCAAUGAGCUGAAGGGCUUACGGAGCCCAAAUGGUACGGUACAUUAAUGUUGCAUUAAUGUUUCAGCAAUAGUUGUCUCAUAUUAAGCAUAUCAUUGUUGAUUAAAUAACUUACCUAUAUAUGCAGAGGGAAGGGAAGGAAAUGAAAAAUUAAGUUCUCAUGUAGAAGUUAAGGGAAGGAAAGAUUAGUGUUGUAAAACAUAAACUUUUUGUUAUUGGUUUGCCAGAAUCUCUUACAAAGGGGUUGGGUUUCAAUGAGAUUAGUUCUGAAAAGAGUACUUACAAUAUCUAAGGAUAAUAUUUGAGCUCUCAGGUUGAAAGAAGUUCUAAACUCUGCUGUACAAAUGAACAAAUAAAUCAUCGAAAGAUGAAUGCUCCCCUUCCAACUUUGUUCUUUGAGGAGGGAUGCGUGCAUUUUUGUUUCUGGAUCAGGGACUGUAGUUAUAAGGCCUAUAAUUGCUAUUAUGUGAAUAAGACUGUUGAAAUUUUGUUUGUCAUUUUUAGAGGUCCUAAUCAUAUUUUAUGUUAGCAGAGUUAUUUAUUGUUUGCGCGGAUUGCAGUGGCUUUAUGGCCACCUUCAAAAUAGAAAAUACAAACUGUUGCAAUGAUCUUCAUAUCAAAUGUUGGCGGCAUUAUCUAAAGGAUAUAAAGGUUGAGCGCUUCAAGCCCUUUCGAGGUUGUGAGGAUAAUGUAGCUGAAUUGAUGGAUCGAUGGCUUUUGAUUCCUGAAGGAGAAUUAUGGUUGCGUCUUGAUUGGUGCUUUUCUGAGCUUAACGAGAAGUUGUGACCGGAGUAGCUAUUAUUCCUAUUCAUUCCACCAACUUAUUUGAUUUCUGUCUUGUAAAAUGCAAGUGUUUUUUUUGGAACAUUUGGAGACUUGGCAGCUGGUCAAAUAUGCAGCUAAUUGGUUUGCUAGACUCAGUUUCUGACGUUUACUAUAUUUAUAUACUAUCCAUUUUGCUGAAAUCACAUUACUUAGUUUUCCUUCUACGGUUGUACAUAUGUAGAGUUGAGUAGGGUUCAUAUUAUCUGGAUUGAUAGAAAGCAGGACAUUUGUGAGAAUCUGCAGUGCAUGUCUUGCAUACAAUUUGCAAGGAGCAUGGCUGAAACAAGGCUGAGAGUGUAUUGAACUUACCAGAUACUUUACCAGAUAGUUUCCUAUGGGAUCCAGCUUGCCCCAAUCAUUAAUUGGUGAGUUUAGAUUAUGUGAUGCCAAUGACAUCCUAGGAUUUGAGCCAACCAAAAAAAGUCUUGACUAAAG
RNAcentral lists this long non-coding RNA (1343 nucleotides) under Citrus sinensis (sweet orange). RNAcentral describes it as "long non-coding RNA (CSIN_LNC000294)". Lineage: Eukaryota; Viridiplantae; Streptophyta; Magnoliopsida; Sapindales; Rutaceae. The record is from RNAcentral.